RNAcentral lists this ribosomal RNA (492 nucleotides) under uncultured bacterium. RNAcentral describes it as "partial 16S ribosomal RNA". It matches the Rfam family "Bacterial small subunit ribosomal RNA", at positions 29 to 507 of the family's 1533-position model. The record is from RNAcentral.
AGUGAACGCUGGCGGUAGGCCUAACACAUGCAAGUCGAACGGCAGCACAGUAAGAGCUUGCUCUUACGGGUGGCGAGUGGCGGACGGGUGAGGAAUACAUCGGAAUCUACUUUUUCGUGGGGGAUAACGUAGGGAGACUUACGCUAAUACCACAUACGACCUACGGGUGAAAGCAGGGGAUCUUCGGACCUUGCGCGAUUGAAUGAGCCGAUGUCGGAUUAGCUAGUUGGCGGGGUAAAGGCCCACCAAGGCGACGAUCCGUAGCUGGUCUGAGAGGAUGAUCAGCCACACUGGAACUGAGACACGGUCCAGACUCCUACGGGAGGCAGCAGUGGGGAAUAUUGGACAAUGGGCGCAAGCCUGAUCCAGCCAUACCGCGUGGGUGAAGAAGGCCUUCGGGUUGUAAAGCCCUUUUGUUGGGAAAGAAAAGCAGCAGGUUAAUACCCCGCUGUUCUGACGGUACCCAAAGAAUAAGCACCGGCUAACUUCGUG